UGAACCAAGAGACUGCUGCUACUAACUACC
RNAcentral lists this non-coding RNA (30 nucleotides) under Rattus norvegicus (Norway rat). The record is from RNAcentral. Lineage: Eukaryota; Metazoa; Chordata; Mammalia; Rodentia; Muridae.